Molecule: ribosomal RNA, 253 nt
Filed under: uncultured bacterium
Lineage: Bacteria
Description: partial 16S ribosomal RNA
Rfam family: Bacterial small subunit ribosomal RNA
Source: RNAcentral
UACGUAGGGUGCAAGCGUUAAUCGGAAUUACUGGGCUUAAAGGGUGCGUAGGCGGUCUUAUAAGUCAGUGCUGAAAUCUCCCGGCUUAACCGGGAGGGUGGCAUUGAUACUGUAGGACUUGAGUAAAGUUGAGGUUGGCGGAAUUGACGGUGUAGCGGUGAAAUGCUUAGAUAUCGUCAAGAACACCUAUAGCGAAGGCAGCUAACUAAGCUUUAACUGACGCUGAGGCACGAAAGUGUGGGGAUCAAACAGG